AUGAGCCACUGCACCCAGCCCUAUGUUAUUUUAUCCCUCUCGUCUGUGGCAUUUUGUUAUGGUAGCCUGAGCAGACUAAUUAAUAUACCUUUCCCUUUCCGUAGAGGAUACAGUCAUUCAAGAAUCCACUCACCCUGCCUAGAACAGAUGAAUGACAGACUAGAAGACACUGGAUUGGAUCAAGAAAUUGGAGGGAUCAAUUCCAUCAUUGAUCAAAAAAGAAAAGAAAAGAUUAUGUGAGAAAGAAGAUUAAUGAGCGCUAUGACUGUUUAUAUUUUUUAAGCUGAAUGUCUUCAAAAAAAUCAGAUGAUGGGUAUGAAGAUUUAAAGGAAGCACUGGGAUCAUAUUGUUCCAGAAUUUUUUGCUCCUUAGUUCCGCUAAAAUCCAGGUUCCUGUGUCAUAAUCAGGAAAAAUUAGGCAUAUGGACACAUUGAAAGCUGAGGAGAGCAGAAUGUAUAAAAGAAAGAUCUCAGUGAAAUAAGGGGGUCCUGCCAACAGGUUCCCACCUCACAGAUUGCAUACUAGGCCAGCACAUGCAAGCAGAAGAGGCCAGGCUCCUCCCUGCAGAAGACUUGAAUUCCCGGUGGCUCCACCCCAUUCUUCCAGCAGCAGGUGGGCCCUUAGCCAGAGCCACUCCACGUUGAUUUAUUUUCGUUACUGCACAUGUGUUAAGGGACAGAAUUUUUCACCAUGGGCAUGGUUAGGCAAAGCCCCGAGUGCACAAUGACCUGGUUCCAUUUGGCUGUCUCCUGUCUCUAUCAUUCGCCCCUCAAAAGAAGUGCAUAUAACCGCUGUUAGAAUAAAGAUAAGGAUAAAGAUGAAGAAUGAUCUGACGACGGGGGUGCUGUUUUGGGAACACAGGAGUCAGAUCUCCCUCAGAGGCCUUAGUUUCCCCUGCAAAAGGAGCCAUCGCCUGAGGCUCUGAUUGUAGACUCUGGUUGCAUGACUGUUUGGAGUUGGAUGGCCUGAAGGUGAGAAGAGACAAACCUCGUUAUUAGAAAACAUGUAUCAAAAAAGAAGGCGGGUAAAGAUAGCUCAAAAAUCUCAAGGCCUUUUACUGAUUUGCACACUAAGAGGGAGGCCAAGAGCCUGACUGGUUGGAAAAAAAAAAAAAAAAAAAAAAAACCACACACACACACACACAAAAACAGUUUACACACUUGUUGGCAUGUCAAACUUCUGGCUUCUGGGUUCCCUUCCCCUGAGUCCAAUCCUAAGCCAACCAGUUUAAGGUUUGGGAAAUUAACUUUUCCCAGUUUGGAGGAUGCAUCUGAGGCAAGUGUCCCAUAGUACAGAGACACAAUUACCUAACUGCGAAGAGAGGACAGAGGAGGAAAAAGAAGGUGUUUUGUUUUGAAGGAGUCCCAGGGGUUCAGGAUGCCUGAGAAAGGGGUAUAGACUGAAGAUGAGUGGCCACUCAUCUAGAAAGAGGGGAGCAAGACAUCCCAGGUUCCAGCAGAUGAAGGAAAGAAUGUGAGGCAUUCCUCUUUCCUCCUUCCUUGAGUCCCAGUAACCAUGACAGGGUGCCACCCAUAGGUGUCAAAGUGGCUUUCACCCAUGUUAACAGGGGGACUCGGGGUUGGAAUAUCUGCUCUUACCCACGUACACCCUGUCUCCCCUGCUGUCAGUAACCUUUGAGUUCCCUAGACCUCAUUUAUGCUAUGGAUACUAGCAUAACCUUUAUUCAUCAAACAGGAGGCUUGGCUUAAUUGGCAGGAAUUAGUCAUGCUCCCUGCACUGUGCCUUUUAAGUUCCAUUAUCAUCUGCCUCUGGAUCCCUCAGAUCCAGUUUGUUUCCACCACCCCCCUGCCACCCUGGGGCUUCAACUCGAAGCUUGGAAUUGAGUUUGGGACAAUAUUGUGUCUCAGGGGGGUUGCAUGAACUCCUUGUAAGCCAAAUGCUAAGGUAAAGCUGUGGAAUUGAGUCCUCCUCCAACAAAGGAGAGAAAAAAGUGUCUUCCGACACAUGCAGAUAACUGGCGGCCACAGUUAUGCUUCCUAAGGUUUGGGUGCAUGGGAUUUGGCUUGGUUAGCUCCCUCAGUCUUACUUUCCAAAAAAGGAAACCUCAGAGUUUUGGCACACUAUUUUUUUUCCCAUCAUUUCACAGCAUUUGCAGGAUAAUUGCUCAGAACUAGAAUAUUGAUCCAGAUGUUUACAUUACCAAUUCCUUUCAUUCUUUCUGAGCUGCAGCUAAAGAUCACUGGUUUGUUCAUAGGAAUAAGCAGGGUUAGUUUAAAAUGUAGGCAAGAAACUUAAAAACAACUAAUGAGUUUAGAAUUUAAUGACAAAUAUGUGGUAAGUUUUGAAACACAAUUUCUCUCUCUUCAGUCCUCAUUUUUGUUAAAAACAAAUCAUGAUAGGACUGAGCUGUUUGGAAAAUAGACUUUAGUUUUAUACUUGGCCUGAUUAUUUGCCUAAAGUGCAGCAAGAAUAAUUAUCUCUACAUAGGCUUUUCAAAUUGGUUUUGAUGGAAGUCUGUUCUAGAAGGAAUCUCAGAUAGUACUUUCUAAAGUUGAGCCCAGCCAUGGGUUUGUACCCUCAAAUAUCUGUGAAUUGAGUAAACUCCUCUCUUCUUGAGGUGCCAAAAACAUGGAGUUCCUGGACCUGUUAGAAAAUGACAUACUUUACUGACUGCAGGUUAGAAACCAUGUAUGGGAACUGUGUAGAAAAGGCAUGAGGCCAGCUUUCCCAAGGGGGUUUUAUCAGUUCUGCAAAUAGAGCUUGACUCCUUAAAGGGAAGCAUACCCUUCCAGUGAAAGCCUUGAUAAAAUGACCAGUUUCUUCAAUUGCUUCCUGUUACAAAAGAAAGUGGAUUCUUAUUGCACUGAUGCAAACCACUAUGUUGCCAUAAGUUAAGAAUAUUCACAGCUAGUUUCCAAAUUCUGGACAGCCAGGCAGAGAGAGAGAGACACAAGGCCAGGCACGGUGGCUCACGCUUGUAAUCCCAGCACUUUGGGAGACUGAGGCGGGUGGAUCGCAAGGUCAAGAGAGCGAGACUGCCCUGACCAACAUGGUAAAACCCCAUCUCUACUAAAAACACAAAAAUUAGCUGGGCGUGGUAUUGCGUGCCUAUGGUCCCAGCUAACCUAGAGGCUGAAGCAGGAGAAUUACUUGAACUGGGGAGGUGGAGGUUGCAUAUAUAUAAUAUAAUAUAUAUAUACACACACACACACAUAUAUAUGUAUAUAACUUGAGAAAGAUUAAACAUCUUUUUGGCAACCCCAAAUACUUAAAAACAUCAGGUAAUCCUGUUCAGCUCUCUUCUGGGUCCUCCACGGGCCCUCUGUAGUAACCAAAAGCAAAGCAUCAAGAAAGACAAUUUUGAAAGUGCAGUUUGAUCUGAGGAAGCCUAUUAAAUAUGUUAGAGGUUUAAAAGACUUGAUGUUAUGAAAUAGAAUUCCAGAUUACCACAAAUUAUUUAUUUUGCCAAAAUGACUCAAAAAUUUUUUAAAAGAACAAAA
RNAcentral lists this long non-coding RNA (3461 nucleotides) under Macaca mulatta (Rhesus monkey). RNAcentral describes it as "lncRNA (ENSMMUG00000056772.1)". Lineage: Eukaryota; Metazoa; Chordata; Mammalia; Primates; Cercopithecidae. The record is from RNAcentral.